Salvelinus namaycush (lake trout) is the source of this 299-nucleotide long non-coding RNA. RefSeq lists it as uncharacterized. The transcript is spliced from 3 exons. The record is from RefSeq and is a predicted model, not a curated record. Lineage: Eukaryota; Metazoa; Chordata; Actinopteri; Salmoniformes; Salmonidae.
UCUACGGGGUCAGAGUGGAUAUCUUUAACCUGUCCUGACCUCUCUACAGGGUCGGAGUGGACCCAGAUCAAGACCUGCAACAAUGUGGAGAUAACUUCCUGCUCUUUCAAGGGGACGGGACCACGCCAGAAGUCAGUAAGACCAAGCAGGAGAGUGCCUGGCUCUUCAGGCUGUGGUACACCUUCGAUCACAACUACCUGAAGCCCAUGUUGACCCACAGCGGUCCUCCUCUCACCACUACCCUGCCAUCCUGCUGUGGUGCCCUGGCACGAUGCUUCACCAGCCCUCAGGCCUACGAG